Molecule: long non-coding RNA, 527 nt
Organism: Macrosteles quadrilineatus (aster leafhopper)
Lineage: Eukaryota; Metazoa; Arthropoda; Insecta; Hemiptera; Cicadellidae
Exons: 3
Source: RefSeq, a predicted model, not a curated record
GUGUCAUCAUUGGAUUAACGCUAACAAUGUGAAUAGCACAUUCUACUAAUUCUAACUAUUGAAUGUAUUGAUGAAAACUUCCAAUUUGAAUGUGGUGCUGGAAAACUAAUUCGUCGUAAUACUUGUAUUAUGCAUGAUAAGUGGGAUUGGGAUAUUAGUUGUAGUGACGAAGAAGAAAAUUACCGGGAUUAUUUGAUUGGCUGGAAAGACUUGGACUUUAGAGACACCUGGUCCUUUAUCAAAAGUCUUGAUGAAGCCUUGGAUGUUAACUGGUCUUUUAUAAAGGAUCACUUCGCAGACUGCAUAGCCUCAGUGUGGAAAACUCUUGCUUUCUGGUGGGAAGAUUUGUUCUUCCGAAAGUUGGGCGAAGGUCCGUAUCCUGCCUUCCCUGUACUCUAAACUACUGUCAGGAUACACGUCGUGAUUUGAAAGUACCAGAGGUCUAAGAUUUAAGCAUGGUGAUCCCUAUACUGGGCGAAGACACCUGGGAAGGGAUGAUGAUUGACACCCCGGGCGACUUUGUAAGG